GUUGCCAUCAUUGAUUGGGCACUCUAAAGAGACUGCCGGUGUCAAACCGGAGGAAGGUGGGGAUGACGUCAAGUCCUCAUGGCCUUUAUGACCAGGGCUACACACGUACUACAAUGGCCGGUACAAAGGGCAGCGACACAGCGAUGUGAAGCGAAUCCCGAAAAGCCGGUCUCAGUCCGGAUUGGAGUCUGCAACUCGACUCCAUGAAGUUGGAAUCGCUAGUAAUCGCGGAUCAGCACGCCGCGGUGAAUACGUUCCCGGGCCUU
This 266-nucleotide ribosomal RNA is filed under the name uncultured Desulfocapsa sp. Its description in RNAcentral is "partial 16S ribosomal RNA". It matches the Rfam family "Bacterial small subunit ribosomal RNA", at positions 1114 to 1382 of the family's 1533-position model. Lineage: Bacteria; Pseudomonadati; Thermodesulfobacteriota; Desulfobulbia; Desulfobulbales; Desulfocapsaceae. The record is from RNAcentral.